UGCAAGUCGAACGGGCACUUCGGUGCUAGUGGCAGACGGGUGAGUAACGCGUGGGAACGUGCCUUUCGGUUCGGAAUAAUCCAGGGAAACUUGGACUAAUACCGGAUACGCCCUUCGGGGGAAAGAUUUAUCGCCGAAAGAUCGGCCCGCGUCUGAUUAGCUAGUUGGUGAGGUAAAGGCUCACCAAGGCGACGAUCAGUAGCUGGUCUGAGAGGAUGAUCAGCCACAUUGGGACUGAGACACGGCCCAAACUCCUACGGGAGGCAGCAGUGGGGAAUAUUGGACAAUGGGCGCAAGCCUGAUCCAGCCAUGCCGCGUGAGUGAUGAAGGCCUUAGGGUUGUAAAGCUCUUUUGUCCGGGAAGAUAAUGACUGUACCGGAAGAAUAAGCCCCGGCUAACUUCGUGCCAGCAG
RNAcentral lists this ribosomal RNA (412 nucleotides) under activated sludge bacterium LB24. RNAcentral describes it as "bacterial SSU rRNA". It matches the Rfam family "Bacterial small subunit ribosomal RNA", at positions 56 to 514 of the family's 1533-position model. The record is from RNAcentral.